UACGUAGGUCCCGAGCGUUGUCCGGAUUUAUUGGGCGUAAAGCGAGCGCAGGUGGUUUAUUAAGUCUGGUGUAAAAGGCAGUGGCUCAACCAUUGUAUGCAUUGGAAACUGGUAGACUUGAGUGCAGGAGAGGAGAGUGGAAUUCCAUGUAUAGCGGUGAAAUGCGUAGAUAUAUGGAGGAACACCGGUGGCGAAAGCGGCUCUCUGGCCUGUAACUGACACUGAGGCUCGAAAGCGUGGGUAUCGAACAGG
RNAcentral lists this ribosomal RNA (252 nucleotides) under uncultured bacterium. RNAcentral describes it as "partial 16S ribosomal RNA". It matches the Rfam family "Bacterial small subunit ribosomal RNA", at positions 524 to 776 of the family's 1533-position model. The record is from RNAcentral.